AAACUGGGAUUAGAUACCCCACUAUGCUUGGCAGUAAACCUUAAUUACAUCCAAAUCGCCUGGGAACUACGAGCAAAGCUUAAAACCCAAAGGACUUGACGGUACCCCAAAUCCACCUAGAGGAGCCUGUCCUAUAAUCGAUAACCCCCGUUUAACCUCACCAUUUCUAGCCAAUCAGCCUGUAUACCUCCGUCGUCAGCUUACCACGUGAGCGAAAUAUAGUGAGCAUAAUGCUACUUCACCAAAACGUCAGGUCAAGGUGCAACUUAUGAAAUGGGAAGAGAUGGGCUACACUCCCUAACUUAGGGCACACGAAAAACUACAUAUGAAAUCUAGUUUGAAGGCGGAUUUAGAAGUAAAAAGAAACCAGAAUGUUCCUUUUAACCCGGCACUGGGGUGUGUACACACCGCCCGUCACCCUC
This 422-nucleotide ribosomal RNA is filed under the name Adenomera martinezi (Martinez's tropical bullfrog). Its description in RNAcentral is "partial 12S ribosomal RNA". It matches the Rfam family "Bacterial small subunit ribosomal RNA", at positions 769 to 1404 of the family's 1533-position model. The record is from RNAcentral. Lineage: Eukaryota; Metazoa; Chordata; Amphibia; Anura; Leptodactylidae.